CUACGGGCGGCAGCAGUGAGGAAUAUUGCACAAUGGGGGGAACCCUGAUGCAGCAACGCCGCGUGGAGGAUGACGCAUUUCGGUGUGUAAACUCCUUUUAUAUGUCAAGAAAAUGACGGUAGCAUAUGAAUAAGCACCGGCUAACUCCGUGCCAGCAGCCGCGGUAAUACGGAGAGGUGCAAGCGUUACUCGGAAUCACUGGGCGUAAAGGACGCGUAGGCGGUUUGGAAAGUCAGGUGUGAAAUCCUACAGCUUAACUGUAGAACUGCACUUGAAACUUCUAAUCUAGAGUAUGGGAGGGGGAGAUGGAAUUAGUGGUGUAGGGGUAAAAUCCGUAGAUAUCACUAGGAAUACCUAAAGCGAAGGCGAUCUCCUGGAACAUUACUGACGCUAAGGCGUGAAAGCGUGGGGAGCAAACAGAAUUAGAUACCCGUGUAGUC
RNAcentral lists this ribosomal RNA (440 nucleotides) under uncultured bacterium. RNAcentral describes it as "partial 16S ribosomal RNA". It matches the Rfam family "Bacterial small subunit ribosomal RNA", at positions 339 to 795 of the family's 1533-position model. The record is from RNAcentral.